UACCGCAUCAUGUCACGUAUGUA
This 23-nucleotide non-coding RNA is filed under the name Arabidopsis thaliana (thale cress). Lineage: Eukaryota; Viridiplantae; Streptophyta; Magnoliopsida; Brassicales; Brassicaceae. The record is from RNAcentral.